GUCGAGCGAUGAUCCGUGUGCUUGCGCCGGGGAUUAGUGGGGAACGGGUGAGUAACACGUGAGUAACCUGCCCUUGACUCUGGGAUAAGCCUGGGAAACUGGGUCUAAUACCGGAUAUGACUCCUCGUCGCAUGGUGGGGGGUGGAAAGCUUUUUGUGGUUUUGGAUGGACUCGCGGCCUAUCAGCUUGUUGGUGGGGUAAUGGCCUACCAAGGCGACGACGGGUAGCCGGCCUGAGAGGGUGACCGGCCACACUGGGACUGAGACACGGCCCAGACUCCUACGGGAGGCAGCAGUGGGGAAUAUUGCACAAUGGGCGAAAGCCUGAUGCAGCGACGCCGCGUGAGGGAUGACGGCCUUCGGGUUGUAAACCUCUUUCAGUAGGGAAGAAGCCCUCUUUGGGGGUGACGGUACUUGCAGAAGAAGCGCCGGCUAACUACGUGCCAGCAGCCGCGGUAAUACGUAGGGCGCAAGCGUUAUCCGGAAUUAUUGGGCGUAAAGAGCUCGUAGGCGGUUUGUCGCGUCUGCUGUGAAAGACCGGGGCUCAACUCCGGUUCUGCAGUGGGUACGGGCAGACUAGAGUGCAGUAGGGGAGACUGGAAUUCCUGGUGUAGCGGUGAAAUGCGCAGAUAUCAGGAGGAACACCGAUGGCGAAGGCAGGUCUCUGGGCUGUAACUGACGCUGAGGAGCGAACAGCAUGGGGAGCGAACAGGAUUAGAUACCCUGGUAGUCCAUGCCGUAAACGUUGGGCACUAGGUGUGGGGGACAUUCCACGUUUUCCGCGCCGUAGCUAUCGCAUUAAGUGCACCGCGUGCUGAGUACGGCCGCAAGGCUAAAACUCAAAGGAAUUGACGAGGGCCCGCACAAGCGGCGGAGCAUGCGGAUUAAUUCGAUGCAACUCGAAGAACCUUACCAAGGCUUGACAUGGACCGGAAAGACCUGGAAACAGGUGCCCCGCUUGCGGCCGGUUUACAGGUGGUGCAUGGUUGUCGUCAGCUCGUGUCGUGAGAUGUUGGGUUAAGUCCCGCAACGAGCGCAACCCUCGUUCUAUGUUGCCAGCGGUUCGGCCGGGGACUCAUAGGAGACUGCCGGGGUCAACUCGGAGGAAGGUGGGGACGACGUCAAAUCAUCAUGCCCCUUAUGUCUUGGGCUUCACGCAUGCUACAAUGGCCGGUACAAAGGGUUGCGAUACUGUGAGGUGGAGCUAAUCCCAAAAAGCCGGUCUCAGUUCGGAUUGGGGUCUGCAACUCGACCCCAUGAAGUCGGAGUCGCUAGUAAUCGCAGAUCAGCAACGCUGCGGUGAAUACGUUCCCGGGCCUUGUACACACCGCCCGUCAAGUCACGAAAGUUGGUAACACCCGAAGCCGGUGGCCUAACCCUUGUGGGGG
RNAcentral lists this ribosomal RNA (1387 nucleotides) under Arthrobacter sp. HL-2005. Its description in RNAcentral is "16S ribosomal RNA". It matches the Rfam family "Bacterial small subunit ribosomal RNA". Lineage: Bacteria; Bacillati; Actinomycetota; Actinomycetes; Micrococcales; Micrococcaceae. The record is from RNAcentral.